GACGAACGCUGGCGGCGUGCUUAACACAUGCAAGUCGAACGGAAAGGCCUCUUUCGGGGGGUACUCGAGUGGCGAACGGGUGAGUAACACGUGAGUAACCUGCCCUUGACUUUGGGAUAACUUCAGGAAACUGGGGCUAAUACCGGAUAGGAGCUCCUGCUGCAUGGUGGGGGCUGGAAAGUUUCGGCGGUUGGGGAUGGACUCGCGGCUUAUCAGCUUGUUGGUGGGGGAGUGGCUUACCAAGGCUUUGACGGGUAGCCGGCCUGAGAGGGUGACCGGCCACAUUGGGACUGAGAUACGGCCCAGACUCCUACGGGAGGCAGCAGUGGGGAAUAUUGCACAAUGGGUGGAAGCCUGAUGCAGCAACGCCGUGUGCGGGAUGACGGCCUUCGGGUUGUAAACCGCUUUCGCUCAUGACGAAGCUUUGUGUGACGGUAGUGGGUAAAGAAGCACCGGCUAACUACGUG
RNAcentral lists this ribosomal RNA (467 nucleotides) under uncultured bacterium. RNAcentral's name for it is "partial 16S ribosomal RNA". It matches the Rfam family "Bacterial small subunit ribosomal RNA", at positions 28 to 507 of the family's 1533-position model. The record is from RNAcentral.